GAAGCUGGCUAGACAGUCGCCGCACUUGCAAGAGUGGGGAGGAAAGUCCGGGCUCCGCAGAGCAGGAUGCCGGUUAAUGGCCGGACGCCGUGAGGCGAUGGAAAGUGCCACAGAAAACGGAACGGAGUGGAGUUUCGGUGCAGGCUAACCUUCGGGUCAUGCCCAGCCGCCACUCGAAGGUUCCCUUUUUGGCGUUGAGGGCAUGACCCGAAGGUUAUGCCGGAGCCAAAAUGACACCGCCGAUGGCCUGUCGUCCGCAAGGGUGGCGGGAUCAGGUAAGGUUGAAAUGGCGAGGUAAGAGCUCACCGCGCUGGUGGCAACAUCAGUGGCAGGGUAAACCCCAUCCGGAGCAAGAUCAAAUAGGCUGACUAUGGCGUGGCUCGCGUCGUCAGCGGGUAGAUUGCUUGAGCGUCAGGUAACGAAACGCCUAGAGGAAUGACUGUCCACGACAGAACCCGGCUUAUCGGCCAGCUUCACCU
This 479-nucleotide RNase P RNA is filed under the name Gallionella sp. RNAcentral describes it as "RNase P RNA component class A". It matches the Rfam family "Bacterial RNase P class A". Rfam says of the family: Ribonuclease P (RNase P) is a ubiquitous endoribonuclease, found in archaea, bacteria and eukarya as well as chloroplasts and mitochondria. Its best characterised activity is the generation of mature 5'-ends of tRNAs by cleaving the 5'-leader elements of precursor-tRNAs. Lineage: Bacteria; Pseudomonadati; Pseudomonadota; Betaproteobacteria; Nitrosomonadales; Gallionellaceae. The record is from RNAcentral.